GGCUCAGGACGAACGCUGGCGGCGUGCCUAAUACAUGCAAGUCGAACGGUCUUUUCUAUGGAAGCUUGCUUCCACUGAGAAGAUAGUGGCGAACGGGUGAGUAACACGUGGGUAACCUGCCCAUAAGAGGGGGGAUAACAUCCGGAAACGGGUGCUAAUACCGCAUAGUUUUCUUGAUCGCAUGAUCGGGAAAGGAAAGACGGCCUUUGUGCUGUCGCUUAUGGAUGGACCCGCGGCGUAUUAGUUAGUUGGUGAGGUAACGGCUCACCAAGACGAUGAUACGUAGCCGACCUGAGAGGGUGAUCGGCCACAUUGGGACUGAGACACGGCCCAAACUCCUACGGGAGGCAGCAGUAGGGAAUCUUCCGCAAUGGACGAAAGUCUGACGGAGCAACGCCGCGUGAGUGAAAGAAGGUUUUCGGAUCGUAAAACUCUGUUGUCAGAGAAGAACAAGUUGGAGAGUAACUGCUCCAGCCUUGACGGUAUCUGACCAGAAAGCCACGGCUAACUACGUGCCAGCCGCCGC
This 526-nucleotide ribosomal RNA is filed under the name uncultured bacterium. RNAcentral's name for it is "bacterial SSU rRNA". It matches the Rfam family "Bacterial small subunit ribosomal RNA", at positions 21 to 518 of the family's 1533-position model. The record is from RNAcentral.